Molecule: long non-coding RNA, 249 nt
Organism: Sinocyclocheilus anshuiensis
Lineage: Eukaryota; Metazoa; Chordata; Actinopteri; Cypriniformes; Cyprinidae
Exons: 3
Source: RefSeq, a predicted model, not a curated record
GUCCCACUCGUGUUGGAGUGAGCUGCUGUAAAGAGGUGUCAAAAGGAAGAAUCCCUGCUACAAUUAAACUGAUUGGGUACAAGAAUCAGAAUGCUCUGAGUCCAUGUGUGGAUGCUAUAAUAUUCUACACAGAGAAGGAAAAGUUCUGCUCUGAUCCAAAAGCGCUCUGGAUUCAAAACCGUCUGAAAGGUCUGAAGGAGAUAGUGGACUGAGAAAAUGGAGGCCUAGAGGAUGCUGCAAAUCUAUCUA